AUUGAACGCUGGCGGCAUGCCUUACACAUGCAAGUCGAACGGUAGCGGGCCUUCGGGUGCCGACGAGUGGCGAACGGGUGAGUAAUGUAUCGGAACGUACCUUUCAGUGGGGGAUAACGUAGCGAAAGUUGCGCUAAUACCGCAUAUUCUGUGAGCAGGAAAGCAGGGGAUCGCAAGACCUUGCGCUGAUUGAGCGGCCGAUAUCAGAUUAGCUAGUUGGUGAGGUAAAGGCUCACGAAGGCGACGAUCUGUAGCGGGUCUGAGAGGAUGAUCCGCCACACUGGAACUGAGACACGGUCCAGACUCCUACGGGAGGCAGCAGUGGGGAAUUUUGGACAAUGGGGGCAACCCUGAUCCAGCCAUGCCGCGUGAGUGAAGAAGGCCUACGGGUUGUAAAGCUCUUUCGGCCGGGAAGAAAUCGUAUCAGCUAAUACCUGGUGCGGAUGACGGUACCGGCAUAAGAAGCACCGGCUAACUACGUGCCAGCCGCCGCAGUAA
This 498-nucleotide ribosomal RNA is filed under the name uncultured bacterium. Its description in RNAcentral is "partial 16S ribosomal RNA". It matches the Rfam family "Bacterial small subunit ribosomal RNA", at positions 30 to 523 of the family's 1533-position model. The record is from RNAcentral.